AUGAGUAGCCAAAGACGAUUGCAAACUUUUGCCAACCACCUCGCACCAUCUCCUGCAUUAGAAAACUGUUCCAAAACAGAUGGCGACCAAGCAGUCAAGAAAUUUCCUGGAAGACAUGAUAUCUUGAAGUGGAAUGGAUGGGGUUAUGCAGAUUCACAAUUUUCAAUCAAGGAUGACCAGAAGGCAUGUUUUACUGGGUCUCGAUACAUGCUCAGUGGGCAAACAUUUCCUAAGCUUGUAGAAUGGUUUGAAAAUGAAUGCCAUGCAGAUAGAGCCCAGAAGAGCUUGGCAAAACCACUGCCGAAUCCAGAUUCACUGCCAAAGCCAAUCGUGAAUGAGAUGUUUCUUGACCAGAUAAAGCAUUUAAAAGUGGACCAUACAUUAGACCCUAUCAUGAGGUUAUUUCAUGGUCAUGGGCAUACUGGCCAUGAGAUUUUUGUCUUGCGUCAUGGAGAGUUCAAAAGAAUACCAGAUAUAGUUAUCUGGCCACGAUGUCAUCAGGAUGUUGAGGGUAUCGUCAGAGCAGCAGUUCAAUGUAAUGUCUGUUUAAUACCAUUUGGUGGGGGAACUAGUGUGUCAACUGCGCUUGAGUGCCCAACAGAAGAAAAAAGAAUGAUCGUAUCCUUAGAUAUGACUGAAAUGAAGCGAAUUUUAUGGAUAGAUGAGGAGAAUCUUGUGGCGCACAUUGAAGCAGGGAUUAUUGGUGAAGACCUUGAACAACAGCUCCAAGCUAAAGGUCUUUGUGUCGGUCACGAGCCAGAUUCCAUGGAAUUUAGUUCACUUGGUGGAUGGGUUGCCACUAGAGCAUCUGGUAUGAAAAAGAAUAUCUAUGGUAAUAUUGAAGACAUAAUAGUCCGUAUAAGGAUGGUCACACCACAAGGAACAGUUGAAAAGAAUUGUCAAGUCCCACGUAUGUCUACAGGUCCAGACAUUCACCACUUCAUUCUUGGUUCAGAAGGAACCUUAGGAGUCGUAACAGAGGUUACUCUUCGCAUUCGUCCAGUUCCCCAGGCCAAGGUAUACGGUUCUGUAGUGUUUCCAACCCUUGAAGCAGGGAUCAAGGCAUUGCAUGAGAUUGCAAAGCAGCACUGUGCACCUGCAUCAAUACGCCUGAUGGACAAUGAACAGUUUAGAUUUGGUCAGGCACUAAAGGGUGAAGAAACAUCUUUUUUUAAAUCCUUUCUUGAUGGAGUCAAAGCUAUGUACUUGACAAAGUUCAAGGGCUUUGACCCUCAUUCUUUAGCAGUUGCAACUCUUCUCUUUGAAGGUACAAAUGAGGAAGUCCUUAUACAACAGAAACGAAUCUAUGAAAUUUCAGCAAAGUUCGGUGGAAUCCCUGCUGGAGAAGAGAACGGCAAGAGAGGCUACAUGUUAACCUUUGUCAUUGCAUAUCUAAGAGAUUUAGGAUUCGACUACUACUUCUUGGCAGAAUCCUUUGAGACAUCAGUGCCUUGGGAUCGGGUGGCCAACUUGUGCAUUAAUGUCAAGGAAUGUAUCAUAAGGAAGUGUGCUGAGCUUGGGGUAAAGUACAAACCCUUUGCAACAUGCCGUGUGACCCAAACUUAUGAUACAGGUGCUUGUGUGUACUUCUACUUUGGUUUUAAUUACAUGGGCCUGGCCGAUCCACUUAUUGUGUAUGAUGCAGUGGAGAGCUCUGCAAGGGAUGAGAUAUUGGCAAAUGGAGGGAGCUUGUCUCAUCAUCAUGGGGUUGGGAAACUCAGGAAAAAGUGGCUGAAGAAAUCCAUCUCGGAUGUUGGGUUGCAGAUGAUUAAAUCUGUGAAAGACUCAAUCGAUCCCCAGAACAUUUUUGGUAAUGGAAACUUGUACUAAAAUAUUGCAACUCAUUUUAAAAUUUGGCAUAAGGUCAGGUCAGAGAAGUCAGGUUAUACACUCCAUUGUAAAAAUCAUUGUCUGGUUAUAAACAUAGAUUUUUUUUUUUUCACGCUGUGAUUUUGUCAACUCUGAAACAUGGCUGACGUGAUGCGCCAGUAGCGUAAGUGCCCAAAACUUGAAUAAGGAGCUAUAACGACAAUGGUAUAAUCGACGCCACUGUCGUCAUCAUUAUCACCACCGCCGCCACCACCACCACUUUCGAUUCAUCAACAACAUCAUAUGACCACACCCAUCAUCAUCAUCUCGAUCAUCAUUGACUACCACCACGACCACGACCACCGCCAUCAUCUCAUCACCAUUACCUGGUAGCGUGACCAUCACACCAUGACACCUGUGAAAGCCAGGUUGGUUAGGAACAAGUAGAUCAUGAUCAUGUCGUCUGUUACUACGAGAUGUGUGAACAAGUGUCACACGAGCAAGCUUCCAAUGAUCUGGAAAGAUAUACCAUUAGUUAAACUUAAAGAUAGAGCCAUAGUUAGUUUAGCUUAGUUUAGUUUAUUCGUCACUAUUUACAGCCUGAGGUACAAUAUGCGAUCUAAUAAAUUAAGUGAGCUAAACAUAGUUAUAUAGAGAUAAAAAGGAAAACAUAGUGAAAAAGAAGUAGGUUAUUAUGAUAAAACGUGACAGGAGGAGGAUACAGGACUUGCGUCCCAAUUGACAACCUUCCCCUAUUGUAGUAAAACUGAAAAAAUACCAGGAAGUACUUCUUAGAACAAUUUUGCAUUAUGAAAAAAUUAGUAUGAAAUAGCAAGAGUGGAGAGGUCUAAAAGUUAUGACCUUAAAUAUUCUAUCAACGAAUAUUGGACUAAUUCUAACUAUACUAUUAACUAUGGUAGCCGAACACAACGAGUCUAGACUAAGAUGAAGGGUUGGCAAGUUUCACAGCAAGCGAAUAGAACUAGAACCAUCCAUACCAGUUGCCUUGGCUUUGAGGCUUUCAAGAUGUUUUUCUACUUCAAACAAUCUUUGAGGUGAGAGUGUUUAAGCGAAGUAGUGCUAUUUUAGGCCGACAGCACCUGUAUCCGGGCCGUCAUGCGUCGAUAAACGGUAUCACCCUUAACUGAGUGCAUGCGAGUAGCCAUGGGCGGACUAUAAUGAUCAUAAAAAAGACUUUUGAGCCCAUUAUAGUUUAUAAAUUAGAUGUUAAUUAAUCAGUAGGACCAUCCUUCGAUGUAUAACACGCGCACAAAGUAUAUGACA
Molecule: unclassified non-coding RNA, 3093 nt
Filed under: Actinia tenebrosa (Australian red waratah sea anemone)
Lineage: Eukaryota; Metazoa; Cnidaria; Anthozoa; Actiniaria; Actiniidae
Description: alkyldihydroxyacetonephosphate synthase, peroxisomal- like, transcript variant X3
Source: RNAcentral